UCGGAUCGCAGGCUGCAACCCGCCUGCGUGAAGUCGGAAUCGCUAGUAAUCGCGGAUCAGCAUGCCGCGGUGAAUACGUUCCCGGGCCUUGUACACACCGCCCGUCACACCAUGAGAGUCGGGAACACCCGAAGCCCGUAGCCUAACAGCAAUGAGGGCGCGGUCGAAGGUGGGUUCGAUAAUUGGGGUGAAGUCGUAACAAGGUAAC
Molecule: ribosomal RNA, 208 nt
Filed under: uncultured bacterium
Lineage: Bacteria
Description: partial 16S ribosomal RNA
Rfam family: Bacterial small subunit ribosomal RNA
Source: RNAcentral